RNAcentral lists this transfer RNA (83 nucleotides) under Candidatus Pacearchaeota archaeon. RNAcentral's name for it is "tRNA-Ser". It matches the Rfam family "tRNA". Rfam says of the family: Transfer RNA (tRNA) molecules are approximately 80 nucleotides in length. Their secondary structure includes four short double-helical elements and three loops (D, anti-codon, and T loops). Further hydrogen bonds mediate the characteristic L-shaped molecular structure. tRNAs have two regions of fundamental functional importance: the anti-codon, which is responsible for specific mRNA codon recognition, and the 3' end, to which the tRNAs corresponding amino acid is attached (by aminoacyl-tRNA synthetases). tRNAs cope with the degeneracy of the genetic code in two manners: having more than one tRNA (with a specific anti-codon) for a particular amino acid; and 'wobble' base-pairing, i.e. permitting non-standard base-pairing at the 3rd anti-codon position. The record is from RNAcentral. Lineage: Archaea; Nanobdellati.
GCCCAGUUCGCAUAGCGGUAUUGCACGAGGUUGCUAACCUCGACCGAGCAAUCGGUGGGCAGGUUCGACUCCUGCACUGGGCG